RNAcentral lists this unclassified non-coding RNA (350 nucleotides) under Hevea brasiliensis (rubber tree). Lineage: Eukaryota; Viridiplantae; Streptophyta; Magnoliopsida; Malpighiales; Euphorbiaceae. The record is from RNAcentral.
CAUCCUUGCCCAGAACUUCUUCACCUCACCAUAUAAAGUGGAAAGGAAGGCAAGGAGAAAAUAAAACUCCUCAACCAAGUGGAAAACGAUGUCAUAUUUGCAAGAGAGAUCUCUCAUUCACACCAGAAGGCCCCAUCUACCAGCCAGAGAAACCAAUAACUGUUGCUGUAUUGCCAUGCGGCCACCACUUUCAUGAUUCCUGCUUGCAGCGCAUCACUCCUCUAAACCAAGCUCAAGAUCCUCCAUGUAUCCCAUGUGCCAUGAGUGACAAGGACUAGCUCUCAUCAAAAGCUCAAGCUAAUAAUGAGAAUGAUUAGAUUGGCCAUUUGUAAGGUAAGUGUUUAGGGCCU